RNAcentral lists this ribosomal RNA (494 nucleotides) under uncultured Hymenobacter sp. RNAcentral's name for it is "partial 16S ribosomal RNA". The record is from RNAcentral. Lineage: Bacteria; Pseudomonadati; Bacteroidota; Cytophagia; Cytophagales; Hymenobacteraceae.
CACGGAGUUAGCCGGUGCUUAUUCACCAGGUACCGUCAGUGAAGGACGCAUCCCCCUUUUUCUUCCCUGGCAAAAGCAGUUUACGACUCAGAAAGCCUUCAUCCUGCACGCGGCAUGGCUGGGUCAGCCUCUCGGCCAUUGCCCAAUAUUCCCUACUGCUGCCUCCCGUAGGAGUCGGGCCCGUAUCUCAGUGCCCGUGUGGGGGACCAGCCUCUCAGCUCCCCUAGCCAUCGUCGCCUUGGUGAGCCGUUACCUCCCCAACUAGCUAAUGGCACGCAGCCCCAUCCGAAUCCAAUAAAUCUUUAACCAUUAUGUGAUGCCACAUUGUGGUUUUAUGCGGUAUUAAUCCGCCUUUCGGCGGGCUAUCCCCCAGAUUCGGGUAGGUUGGCUACGCGUUACGCACCCGUGCGCCACUAUCAGUAUUGCUACUGACCGUUCGACUUGCAUGUAUUAGGCCUGCCGCUAGCGUUCAUCCUGAGCCAGGAUCAAACUCU